RNAcentral lists this ribosomal RNA (100 nucleotides) under Pogona vitticeps (central bearded dragon). The record is from RNAcentral. Lineage: Eukaryota; Metazoa; Chordata; Lepidosauria; Squamata; Agamidae.
AUACUGCCCUGAGCACACCUAAUCUCUUUUGAUUUCUGAAGCUAAACAGCUCCAAGCCUGGUUAGUAUUUAGUUGGGAGACCAGCUGGGAGUAUCGGGGA